GAUGAACGCUGGCGGCGUGCCUAAUACAUGCAAGUCGAGCGAACAGACGAGGAGCUUGCUCCUCUGACGUUAGCGGCGGACGGGUGAGUAACACGUGGAUAACCUACCUAUAAGACUAGGAUAACUUCGGGAAACCGGAGCUAAUACCGGAUAACAUGUUGAACCGCAUGGUUCAACAGUGAAAGACGGUCUUGCUGUCACUUAUAGAUGGAUCCGCGCCGCAUUAGCUAGUUGGUAAGGUAACGGCUUACCAAGGCAACGAUGCGUAGCCGACCUGAGAGGGUGAUCGGCCACACUGGAACUGAGACACGGUCCAGACUCCUACGGGAGGCAGCAGUAGGGAAUCUUCCGCAAUGGGCGAAAGCCUGACGGAGCAACGCCGCGUGAGUGAAGAAGGUCUUCGGAUCGUAAAACUCUGUUAUUAGGGAAGAACAAAUGUGUAAGUAACUAUGCACGUCUUGACGGUACCUAAUCAGAAAGCCACGGCUAACUACGUG
RNAcentral lists this ribosomal RNA (497 nucleotides) under uncultured bacterium. Its description in RNAcentral is "partial 16S ribosomal RNA". It matches the Rfam family "Bacterial small subunit ribosomal RNA", at positions 28 to 507 of the family's 1533-position model. The record is from RNAcentral.